GAUGAACACUAGCGGCAGGCUUAACACAUGCAAGUCGAGGGGUAUAGUAGCAAUACUAGAGACCGGCGCACGGGUGCGUAACGCGUAUGCAAUCUACCUUUCACAGAGGGAUAGCCCAGAGAAAUUUGGAUUAAUCCCUCAUAGUAUAGUAUCUUGGCAUCAAGGAACUAUUAAAGUCACAACGGUGAAAGAUGAGCAUGCGUCCCAUUAGUUAGUUGGUAAGGUAACGGCUUACCAAGACUACGAUGGGUAGGGGUCCUGAGAGGGAGAUCCCCCACACUGGUACUGAGACACGGACCAGACCCCUACGGGAGGCAGCAGUGAGGAAUAUUGGACAAUGGGCGCAAGCCUGAUCCAGCCAUGCCGCGUGCAGGAUGACGGUCCUAUGGAUUGUAAACUGCUUUUGUACAGGAAGAAACACCCCGACGUGUCGGGACUUGACGGUGCUGUAAGAAUAAGGAUCGGCUAACUCCGUGCCAGCCGCCGCAGUAA
RNAcentral lists this ribosomal RNA (492 nucleotides) under uncultured bacterium. RNAcentral describes it as "partial 16S ribosomal RNA". It matches the Rfam family "Bacterial small subunit ribosomal RNA", at positions 28 to 523 of the family's 1533-position model. The record is from RNAcentral.